GAGCGGCGAACGGGUGAGUAACACGUGAGUAACCUGCCCCUGACUCUGGGAUAAGCCUGGGAAACUGGGUCUAAUACCGGAUAUGACAUCUACCCGCAUGGGUGGGAUGUGGAAAGUUUUUUCGGUUGGGGAUGGGCUCGCGGCCUAUCAGCUUGUUGGUGGGGUAGUGGCCUACCAAGGCGACGACGGGUAGCCGGCCUGAGAGGGCGACCGGCCACACUGGGACUGAGACACGGCCCAGACUCCUACGGGAGGCAGCAGUGGGGAAUAUUGCGCAAUGGGCGGAAGCCUGACGCAGCGACGCCGCGUGGGGGAUGACGGCCUUCGGGUUGUAAACCUCUUUCAGCAGGGACGAAGUUGACGUGUACCUGUAGAAGAAGCGCCGGCUAACUACGUGCCAGCAGCCGCGGUAAUACGUAGGGCGCAAGCGUUGUCCGGAAUUAUUGGGCGUAAAGAGCUCGUAGGUGGCUUGUUGCGUCUGCCGUGAAAGCCCGUGGCUUAACUGCGGGUCUGCGGUGGAUACGGGCAGGCUANGAGGCUGGUAGGGGCAAGCGGAAUUCCU
Molecule: ribosomal RNA, 562 nt
Filed under: Planotetraspora sp. 316D02
Lineage: Bacteria; Bacillati; Actinomycetota; Actinomycetes; Streptosporangiales; Streptosporangiaceae
Description: bacterial SSU rRNA
Rfam family: Bacterial small subunit ribosomal RNA
Source: RNAcentral